RNAcentral lists this ribosomal RNA (426 nucleotides) under Paenibacillaceae bacterium CL1.36. Its description in RNAcentral is "bacterial SSU rRNA". It matches the Rfam family "Bacterial small subunit ribosomal RNA", at positions 88 to 499 of the family's 1533-position model. Lineage: Bacteria; Bacillati; Bacillota; Bacilli; Caryophanales; Paenibacillaceae. The record is from RNAcentral.
UAACUUAGCGGCGGACGGGUGAGUAACACGUAGGCAACCUGCCCUCAAGACUGGGAUAACUACCGGAAACGGUAGCUAAUACCGGAUAAUUUCUUUCCUCUCCUGAAGAGAGAAUGAAAGGCGGAGCAAUCUGCCACUUGGGGAUGGGCCUGCGGCGCAUUAGCUAGUUGGUGGGGUAACGGCUCACCAAGGCGACGAUGCGUAGCCGACCUGAGAGGGUGAACGGCCACACUGGGACUGAGACACGGCCCAGACUCCUACGGGAGGCAGCAGUAGGGAAUCUUCCGCAAUGGGCGAAAGCCUGACGGAGCAACGCCGCGUGAGUGAUGAAGGUUUUCGGAUCGUAAAGCUCUGUUGCCAGGGAAGAACGUUCCGGUAGAGUAACUGCUACCGGAGUGACGGUACCUGAGAAGAAAGCCCCGGCUA